AUGGCGCCCAAGGCCGAGAAGAAGCCCACCGCGGAGAAGAAGCCGGUGGAGACGGAGAAGAAGCCCAAGGCCGAGAAGCGCGUGCCCGGCAAGGACGGCGGCGCCGGCGCCGACAAGAAGAAGAAGAAGGCCAAGAAGAGCGUCGAGACCUACAAGAUCUACAUCUUCAAGGUCCUGAAGCAGGUGCACCCCGACAUCGGCAUCUCCUCCAAGGCCAUGUCCAUCAUGAACUCCUUCAUCAACGACAUCUUCGAGAAGCUCGCUGGCGAGUCGGCCAAGCUGGCUCGCUACAACAAGAAGCCCACCAUCACCUCCCGGGAGAUCCAGACCGCCGUGCGCCUCGUCCUCCCCGGCGAGCUCGCCAAGCACGCCGUCUCCGAGGGCACCAAGGCCGUCACCAAGUUCACCUCCUCUUAG
This 417-nucleotide ribosomal RNA is filed under the name Triticum aestivum (bread wheat). RNAcentral's name for it is "partial small subunit ribosomal RNA". The record is from RNAcentral. Lineage: Eukaryota; Viridiplantae; Streptophyta; Magnoliopsida; Poales; Poaceae.